Parelaphostrongylus tenuis is the source of this 72-nucleotide non-coding RNA. The record is from the annotation of a GenBank genome assembly. NCBI's taxonomy places the organism in Eukaryota, Metazoa, Nematoda, Chromadorea, Rhabditida, Metastrongylidae.
AUACCGGUGGUGCAACGGUUAGCAUACUCUCUCGGAAAGAGUGAGAUCAGGGUUCGAAUCCCGGCUAGCGCA